AGCGAACGCUGGCGGCAGGCCUAACACAUGCAAGUCGAACGAACCUUUCGGGGUUAGUGGCGGACGGGUGAGUAACACGUGGGAACGUGCCUUUAGGUUCGGAAUAACUCAGGGAAACUUGUGCUAAUACCGAAUGUGCCCUUCGGGGGAAAGAUUAAUCGCCUUUAGAGCGGCCCGCGUCUGAUUAGCUAGUUGGUUGAGGUAAUGGCUCACCAAGGCGACGAUGAGUAGCUGGUCUGAGGGGAUGAUCAGCCACAUUGGGACUGAGACACGGCCCAAACUCGGACGGGACGGAGCAGAGGAGUAUCUUGCGGAAGGGGGGAUAGCGUGACGCAGCCACGCCGGGUGAAUGAUGAAGGUCUUAGGAUUGUAAAAUUCUUUGAGCGGGGACGAGAAUGACGGUACCGGGAGAAGAAGCACCGGCUAACUUCGUG
Molecule: ribosomal RNA, 434 nt
Filed under: uncultured bacterium
Lineage: Bacteria
Description: partial 16S ribosomal RNA
Rfam family: Bacterial small subunit ribosomal RNA
Source: RNAcentral